AUUUAAUGAUGAUAUUCAUCCCAGUUCUGCUACUGAAAAUCAAUGUAGAGAAUCAAAAUACCAAAACCCACUGAGAA
Molecule: small nucleolar RNA, 77 nt
Organism: Contarinia nasturtii (swede midge)
Lineage: Eukaryota; Metazoa; Arthropoda; Insecta; Diptera; Cecidomyiidae
Source: RefSeq, a predicted model, not a curated record